This 353-nucleotide long non-coding RNA is filed under the name Monodelphis domestica (gray short-tailed opossum). RNAcentral's name for it is "lncRNA (ENSMODG00000050781.1)". The record is from RNAcentral. Lineage: Eukaryota; Metazoa; Chordata; Mammalia; Didelphimorphia; Didelphidae.
AGCUGAACUGAUCUUGCUAGCUUCCGUCACAGGCUGAAAGCCCUUUGAGGGGGGCUUCUGAAAUUUGGCUGAGAGACCUUGGUGGUUUUGUGAAUUGAAAGAAGAAAAGAAGAUUUUAAACAGUUGUCCUCCAUCUUUCUGGCUGUCUUGAAGUCACAGCUCAGUGAAUAUCCUUUUUCAUCAUGAUUCCCUUGAAGUUGUCCUGGAUCCUUGCUUUGUUGAUAAUAGUUGUCAUUCACAGGUCAGGAGAGUUGGAUAACCUAGAAGAGGCUGCUGAAGUUUUAAGAGAAAUAGACUAGUGAUAAGCCAGAAAAAAUAUUCCAUUAACUCCUACCACUGGUCUCUUCUGAGCU